This 677-nucleotide ribosomal RNA is filed under the name uncultured Bacteroides sp. RNAcentral describes it as "bacterial SSU rRNA". It matches the Rfam family "Bacterial small subunit ribosomal RNA", at positions 12 to 677 of the family's 1533-position model. The record is from RNAcentral. Lineage: Bacteria; Pseudomonadati; Bacteroidota; Bacteroidia; Bacteroidales; Bacteroidaceae.
UUUGAUCCUGGCUCAGGAUGAACGCUAGCUACAGGCUUAACACAUGCAAGUCGAGGGGCAUCAGUUUGGUUUGCUUGCAAACCAAAGCUGGCGACCGGCGCACGGGUGAGUAACACGUAUCCAACCUGCCUCAUACUCGGGGAUAGCCUUUCGAAAGAAAGAUUAAUAUCCGAUAGCAUAUAUUUCCCGCAUGGGUUUUAUAUUAAAGAAAUUCGGUAUGAGAUGGGGAUGCGUUCCAUUAGUUUGUUGGGGGGGUAACGGCCCACCAAGACUACGAUGGAUAGGGGUUCUGAGAGGAAGGUCCCCCACAUUGGAACUGAGACACGGUCCAAACUCCUACGGGAGGCAGCAGUGAGGAAUAUUGGUCAAUGGACGCGAGUCUGAACCAGCCAAGUAGCGUGAAGGAUGACUGCCCUAUGGGUUGUAAACUUCUUUUAUAUGGGAAUAAAGUGGUCCACGUGUGGACUUUUGUAUGUACCAUAUGAAUAAGGAUCGGCUAACUCCGUGCCAGCAGCCGCGGUAAUACGGAGGAUCCGAGCGUUACCCGGAUUUAUUGGGUUUAAAGGGAGCGUAGGCGGAUUGUUAAGUCAGUUGUGAAAGUUUGCGGCUCAACCGUAAAAUUGCAGUUGAUACUGGCAGUCUUGAGUGCAGUAGAGGUGGGCGGANUUCGUGGUGUA